AUUUUAUUAUAAGCCAUGAUCAAAAUAAAGCAAAUAAAGAGCAAUUGAAAGAGGUAAAGAAAAAAAGGCAACCAAAUUUAUGUGGAAAAUCCCAAUUUGAAAAAAGAAAUACAGGAUUAAAUCAAGCACUAUACUCAAAAUAGUAGUGGUUACAAGAGAUCUUAUAACCCAGUUGUAAAAUCCACACCUCAUGGAACAAAACCUCCCUUGCCGAGUCUACAUACACCGCACAUCUAAUUGACUGCCACCACCUCGAGUCCACAAGCUCUCCACACACAUCCAAAAUCCACAGUAGGACUUGAACAUUACUUCCUUCCUUAAAUCUCAAGCUCGGCUCUCACCUUGGAAUCCUCUGAAGGUCUUCAACACGGAUAAAGGAUGAUGAAUAAACUCUUAGAGCUAUUCAAUAACAUUCAAGGAUCCUUAGAUCUAAGCUUAAUCUCCAAGAAUAACAAGAAGAUCACUCUCUAACCUUGCUUAAGAUGUUUCUAGAUCUUUUUGCCACCAAGGGAAAGCGAAUAUGGCUUUCUCUUUAGGUUAGAAAGGAAGGAACAAGCAUUUAUAUACUAUCCAAAUCGCAACCAUCUUGUUCAACCUUUACUCAAGCGACGGUUGAGUGACACUUUGAGCUUCUCUAGUUCAACAGCUUUGCUCAAUGCUUGCUCGAGCGACGGUGCAUUGAGCGACAAUUGAACGAUAGGCUCAGCUUCUCUAGUUCAACGAUUUUGCUCAACGUGCUGGACUAGACGUUGAGCCGCAAGUCAAAAAA
RNAcentral lists this long non-coding RNA (769 nucleotides) under Actinidia chinensis (golden kiwifruit). RNAcentral's name for it is "long non-coding RNA (ACHI_LNC007498)". Lineage: Eukaryota; Viridiplantae; Streptophyta; Magnoliopsida; Ericales; Actinidiaceae. The record is from RNAcentral.